This 938-nucleotide ribosomal RNA is filed under the name Coleophoma empetri. RNAcentral describes it as "eukaryotic LSU rRNA". It matches the Rfam family "Eukaryotic large subunit ribosomal RNA", at positions 23 to 978 of the family's 3401-position model. The record is from RNAcentral. Lineage: Eukaryota; Fungi; Ascomycota; Leotiomycetes; Helotiales; Dermateaceae.
ACCCGCUGAACUUAAGCAUAUCAAUAAGCGGAGGAAAAGAAACCAACAGGGAUUACCUCAGUAACGGCGAGUGAAGCGGUAACAGCUCAAAUUUGAAAUCUGGGUCUUUCAGGCUCCGAGUUGUAAUUUGUAGAAGAUGCUUCGGGUGCGGCUCCGGUCUAAGUUCCUUGGAACAGGACGUCAUAGAGGGUGAGAAUCCCGUAUGUGAUCGGUUGCUUGCGCCCAUGUGAAGCUCUUUCGACGAGUCGAGUUGUUUGGGAAUGCAGCUCAAAAUGGGUGGUAAAUAUCAUCUAAAGCUAAAUAUAGGCCAGAGACCGAUAGCGCACAAGUAGAGUGAUCGAAAGAUGAAAAGCACUUUGGAAAGAGAGUUAAACAGUACGUGAAAUUGUUGAAAGGGAAGCGCUUGCAACCAGACUUGCGCGUUGCCGAUCAUCUGGGGUUCUCCCCAGUGCACUCGGCCUCGCUCAGGCCAGCAUCGGUUUCGGUGGUGGGAUAAAGGCCUUGGGAAUGUAGCUUCUUUCGGGGAGUGUUAUAGCCCUCGGUGCUAUGCCGCCUACCGGGACCGAGGACCGCGCUUCGGCUAGGAUGCUGGCGUAAUGGUUGUAAGCGACCCGUCUUGAAACACGGACCAAGGAGUCUAACAUCUAUGCGAGUGUUUGGGUGUCAUACCCAUACGCGUAAUGAAAGUGAACGGAGGUGAGAACCCUUAAGGGUGCAUCAUCGACCGAUCCUGAUGUCUUCGGAUGGAUUUGAGUAAGAGCAUAGCUGUUGGGACCCGAAAGAUGGUGAACUAUGCCUGAAUAGGGUGAAGCCAGAGGAAACUCUGGUGGAGGCUCGCAGCGGUUCUGACGUGCAAAUCGAUCGUCAAAUUUGGGUAUAGGGGCGAAAGACUAAUCGAACCAUCUAGUAGCUGGUUCCUGCCGAAGUUUCCCUCAGGA